GACGAACGCUGGCGGCGUGCUUAACACAUGCAAGUCGAACGGAAAGGCCCUGCUUUUGUGGGGUGCUCGAGUGGCGAACGGGUGAGUAACACGUGAGUAACCUGCCCUUGACUUUGGGAUAACUUCAGGAAACUGGGGCUAAUACCGGAUAGGAGCUCCUGCUGCAUGGUGGGGGUUGGAAAGUUUCGGCGGUUGGGGAUGGACUCGCGGCUUAUCAGCUUGUUGGUGGGGUAGUGGCUUACCAAGGCUUUGACGGGUAGCCGGCCUGAGAGGGUGCCCGGCCACAGUGGGACUGAGAUACGGCAGAGACUCCUACGGGAGGCAGCAGGGGGGAAUAUUGCAAAAUGGGCGGAAGCCUGAUGGAGCAACGCCGCGUGCGGGAUGAGGGCUUUCGGGUUGUAAACCGCUUUCGCCUGUGACGAAGCGUGAGUGACGGUAAUGGGUAAAGAAGCACCGGCUAACUACGUG
RNAcentral lists this ribosomal RNA (468 nucleotides) under uncultured bacterium. Its description in RNAcentral is "partial 16S ribosomal RNA". It matches the Rfam family "Bacterial small subunit ribosomal RNA", at positions 28 to 507 of the family's 1533-position model. The record is from RNAcentral.